RNAcentral lists this long non-coding RNA (697 nucleotides) under Brassica napus (rape). RNAcentral describes it as "long non-coding RNA (BNAP_LNC024319)". The record is from RNAcentral. Lineage: Eukaryota; Viridiplantae; Streptophyta; Magnoliopsida; Brassicales; Brassicaceae.
UAAACUACACGGCCAAAUAUUUAACAAUUUACAAACUUACUUUCACAAAUGCUUACGAAGAAGACGAAGACGACAACCAAGAUCAGUGAAAUUACCUAAACAAAAAAAGCAGAGUAAUUAAGUUACGAACUCUGAUAAAUACAACUAACAAUAAUUUUUGUUUACAUAUUACCCAUCAAAUAAAAGAGAAACAAACACAUCAACACCAUGAGAUACAAGAGACAAUCCCAACAGACACAAAUGCGGCAACAAUAUCUCCACCUGCUCACUCCUCUUGUCUUAUAAAAAUAGCUUAUAUGCUCAAUGUCAACAUACCAACGCUAUUGUCUUCUUAUGAGAAAUACAUAUAUUCGUUUAAAACCCAUAAAGACCCAAAUACUAAUUGUCACUCAUUUUAUAGUUAUUUCUACAAGUCUUCGUAUAUUUGUUUUAAAGGUCCGGUAAAAACAACAAGUUUAAAAGUAAAAAAACAUAUAACUAACAUAAUAAUAAUAAAAAAAAAUUAUUACUUAAUACACACAACUUACACAACUAAACUGGAGAAAAAAUAUCCAGAAACAAAAGGUACUCUCAACAACCUUAAUAUAAUUUAUGUAAUCUCAACAGUACAAGUAACAAAUUAAAAAGACAAACAAACAAUAAGUCUCAGUGACACAACAAACAACACCACGAACUAUAUCAAUCACAUUAUUAACAC